Molecule: non-coding RNA, 135 nt
Organism: Triticum aestivum (bread wheat)
Lineage: Eukaryota; Viridiplantae; Streptophyta; Magnoliopsida; Poales; Poaceae
Source: Rfam
CUAGUACUCCCUCCGUCCCAAAUUAGUUGUCUUAAAUCUGUCUAGAUACUGAUGUAUCUAACACUAAAACUUAUUCAGAUACAUCCGCAUGUAAACAAAUCUAAGUCAACUAAUUCGGGAAGGGGGGUGUACAAC